Molecule: small RNA, 93 nt
Filed under: Salmonella enterica
Lineage: Bacteria; Pseudomonadati; Pseudomonadota; Gammaproteobacteria; Enterobacterales; Enterobacteriaceae
Description: partial RtT sRNA
Rfam family: RtT RNA
About the family: This family represents a bacterial cis-regulatory element known as RtT RNA. The exact function of RtT is unknown although it is thought that it may be involved in changing the cellular response in relation to amino acid starvation.
Source: RNAcentral
GAGGUUCGACCCGAGCGACGCGAGAGAACGUUGCGUCAGCAACGGCCCGCAGGGCGAGCCACGCAGUGGCGAGUCAUCCUCUAUCACCGACCA